This 585-nucleotide ribosomal RNA is filed under the name uncultured bacterium. Its description in RNAcentral is "bacterial SSU rRNA". It matches the Rfam family "Bacterial small subunit ribosomal RNA", at positions 102 to 665 of the family's 1533-position model. The record is from RNAcentral.
ACGGGUGAGUAACGCGUGGAUAAUCUACCUCUAUCUGGGGGAUAACCCAUCGAAAGGUGGGCUAAUACCGCAUAAUCCGGCUGAUUCAUGGAUUGGCCGGCAAAGGUGGCCUCUUGAUCAAAGCUACCGGGUUGAGAUGAGUCCGCGUCCCAUUAGCUUGUUGGUAGGGUAACGGCCUACCAAGGCGACGAUGGGUAGCUGGUCUGAGAGGACGAUCAGCCACACUGGAACUGGUACACGGUCCAGACUCCUACGGGAGGCAGCAGUGAGGAAUAUUGCGCAAUGGGGGAAACCCUGACGCAGCGACGCCGCGUGGGUGAAGAAGGCCUUCGGGUCGUAAAGCCCUGUCAAGUGGGAAGAAAAGCCUAUGGACGAAUAAUCCAUGGGUCUGACGGUACCACUGAAGGAAGCACCGGCUAACUCCGUGCCAGCAGCAGCGGUAAGACGGAGGGUGCAAGCGUUAUUCGGAAUGAUUGGGCGUAAAGCGUCUGUAGGUGGCUUUUCAAGUCCGCCGUCAAAUCCCAGGGCUCAACCCUGGACAGGCGGUGGAAACUACCAAGCUGGAGUACGGUAGGGGCAGAGGGA